Molecule: ribosomal RNA, 497 nt
Filed under: uncultured bacterium
Lineage: Bacteria
Description: partial 16S ribosomal RNA
Rfam family: Bacterial small subunit ribosomal RNA
Source: RNAcentral
GAUGAACGCUGGCGGCGUGCCUAAUACAUGCAAGUCGAGCGAACAGACGAGGAGCUUGCUCCUCUGACGUUAGCGGCGGACGGGUGAGUAACACGUGGAUAACCUACCUAUAAGACUGGGAUAACUUCGGGAAACCGGAGCUAAUACCGGAUAAUAUAUUGAACCGCAUGGUUCAAUAGCGAAAGACGGUUUUGCUGUCACUUAUAGAUGGAUCCGCGCCGCAUUAGCUAGUUGGUAAGGUAACGGCUUACCAAGGCAACGAUGCGUAGCCGACCUGAGAGGGUGAUCGGCCACACUGGAACUGAGACACGGUCCAGACUCCUACGGGAGGCAGCAGUAGGGAAUCUUCCGCAAUGGGCGAAAGCCUGACGGAGCAACGCCGCGUGAGUGAUGAAGGUCUUCGGAUCGUAAAACUCUGUUAUUAGGGAAGAACAAAUGUGUAAGUAACUAUGCACGUCUUGACGGUACCUAAUCAGAAAGCCACGGCUAACUACGUG